AAAAGUUGAGAUUCCAACUAGUAU
RNAcentral lists this small nuclear RNA (24 nucleotides) under Arabidopsis thaliana (thale cress). RNAcentral's name for it is "snRNA_10619". The record is from RNAcentral. Lineage: Eukaryota; Viridiplantae; Streptophyta; Magnoliopsida; Brassicales; Brassicaceae.